Molecule: ribosomal RNA, 520 nt
Filed under: uncultured Glomus
Lineage: Eukaryota; Fungi; Glomeromycota; Glomeromycetes; Glomerales; Glomeraceae
Description: SSU rRNA
Rfam family: Eukaryotic small subunit ribosomal RNA
Source: RNAcentral
AGCAGCCGCGGUAAUUCCAGCUCCAAUAGCGUAUAUUAAAGUUGCUGCAGUUAAAAAGCUCGUAGUUGAAUUUCGGGACCAAUAUGUCGGUCGUGCCUUUGGUACGUACGGGUGUAAUUGGUUUCUACCUUCUGAGGAUUCUUGAUGUCAUUAAUUUGGUGUCUUGGGGAAUCAGGACUGUUACCUUGAAAAAAUUAGAGUGUUUAAAGCAGGCAUACGCUUGAAUACAUUAGCAUGGAAUAAUGAAAUAGGACGUUCGAUUCUAUUUUGUUGGUUUCUAGGAUCGACGUAAUGAUUAAUAGGGAUAGUUGGGGGCAUUAGUAUUCAAUUGUCAGAGGUGAAAUUCUUGGAUUUAUUGAAGACUAACUACUGCGAAAGCAUUUGCCAAGGAUGUUUUCAUUAAUCAAGAACGAAAGUUAGGGGAUCGAAGACGAUCAGAUACCGUCGUAGUCUUAACCAUAAACUAUGCCGACUAGGGAUCGGAUGAUGUUAAUUUUUAAUGACUCAUUCGGCGCCUUAA